AGAGUUUGAUCCUGGCUCAGGAUGAACGCUAGCGGGAGGCCUAACACAUGCAAGCCGAGCAGUAGAGAUUCUUCGGAAUCUUGAGAGCGGCGUACGGUGCGGAACACGUGUGCAACCUACCUUUAUCUGGAGGAUAGCCUUUCGAAAGGAAGAUUAAUACUCCAUAAUAUAUUGAUUGGCAUCAAUUGAUAUUGAAAGCUCCGGCGGAUAGAGAUGGGCACGCGCAAGAUUAGUUAGUUGGUGAGGUAACGGCUCACCAAGACGAUGAUCUUUAGGGGCCUGAGAGGGUGAUCCCCCACACUGGUACUGAGACACGGACCAGACUCCUACGGGAGGCAGCAGUGAGGAAUAUUGGUCAAUGGGUGCAAGCCUGAACCAGCCAUCCCGCGUGAAGGACGACUGCCCUAUGGGUUGUAAACUUCUUUUGUAUAGGGAUAAACCUACCCUCGUGAGGGUAGCUGAAGGUACUAUACGAAUAAGCACCGGCUAACUCCGUG
Molecule: ribosomal RNA, 497 nt
Filed under: uncultured bacterium
Lineage: Bacteria
Description: bacterial SSU rRNA
Rfam family: Bacterial small subunit ribosomal RNA
Source: RNAcentral